This 255-nucleotide ribosomal RNA is filed under the name uncultured bacterium. Its description in RNAcentral is "partial 16S ribosomal RNA". It matches the Rfam family "Bacterial small subunit ribosomal RNA", at positions 524 to 777 of the family's 1533-position model. The record is from RNAcentral.
UACGAAGGGGGCUAGCGUUGCUCGGAAUCACUGGGCGUAAAGCGCACGUAGGCGGCUUUCUAAGUCAGGGGUGAAAUCCUGGAGCUCAACUCCAGAACUGCCUUUGAUACUGGCAAUCUCGAGUCCGGGAGAGGUGAGUGGAACUCCGAGUGUAGAGGUGAAAUUCGUAGAUAUUCGGAAGAACACCAGUGGCGAAGGCGGCUCACUGGCCCGGUACUGACGCUGAGGUGCGAAAAGCGUGGGGAGCAAACAGGG